AUGAUGAAAAUUAAUGAGUGCCUCGUUGAUCUCUAUGUAGCCCAUGCUCACCACUUCUCUUUUGAACUUUCUUGAGAAUAAUACCAAACAGUAGUCACACUCUCACAAAAACAAAAAAAACUUAAAAAGAGAAACAAUUUAGUGUCUCUCUCUUUUUCUCUUUAAGCUUAUCAGCUACUUGUAUCCAUAUCCAACAACAUCAAUGGGUGAGGUUUGCUUUGCUCUUUACCCUUUUACGUUUUUUUUUUUUUUUUGGUUUUUUGGUUGGGAUUUCUGUUUUUUUUUUGUUAUAGGAAGAGAAGAAGAAACCAGAAGAAGUAACACAAUUUAUAUAGUGACGGUGGUUCGCAAUCUUCAAAUUGAAACAAGGAAUUAAGUCCUUUGUGGUUGGUGCUAAGAGGUAUGUUCUGAAUUGGGUAUUUGCUGGCACAUUGCAAUUGGAGAUUGAGCAUCAUUUGGCCAUGAUUUAGGAGUUGUGCCAACGCUCCUGGCUUUAUGUAUGUAUAAUACAUCGGCAUUGAAGAUCUCAAAUUCCUACUUCUUAUCUUAGAUUUCAUUUUUCUACUUUGGAACUUGAGUUGGAAUUGGAGAAGAGAGGUUUUUGGACGAAGGACGAAACUGUGUUUCUUUGAUAGUUGGGUCGAUGGCUAGCCUUUUAAUUAGUUUUGGACUAUAAAAUACAUACUGCAAUUUUUUAACUAGCGGAUGAUACUAGUUUCUAGCGGCCGGCUAUAAAUGAAGUUUGCUCAAUACUGAUCGAGCAUAAUUUUUACAUAAUAUAUACGUUGUGUUCUCUCGUAAGUCUCAUUCUCUGGUCACUUGGAUGUAAUUUGCUUUAAUUGAGUGGAAAUAAUUUCAGAACUUUUUUCUGAAUCAUCUAGAAUUUUGGUAUGCCCGUUGUACUUACAAAAGCCCGCAGAACUAUAUUCAAAAGGAGUCACAUGCAAACAUGG
Molecule: long non-coding RNA, 953 nt
Filed under: Nicotiana tabacum (common tobacco)
Lineage: Eukaryota; Viridiplantae; Streptophyta; Magnoliopsida; Solanales; Solanaceae
Description: long non-coding RNA (NTAB_LNC004139)
Source: RNAcentral